UUUCCGUAGGUGAACCUGCGGAAGGAUCAUUGUCGAGACCGAAAUAUAAAUCGAGCGAUUCAGAGAACACGUGAAUCGAGCGACGGCCAUCGCCGUCGCGGGAUGACCGGCCCGGCCGUCGCCCGCGUCUCCUCCACGGGGAGAGCGGGGGAUGACGGCGGACGGAUGAAAAGACAAACCGGCGCAGCAUCGCGCCAAGGAAAAAUUGGAAGGCACCAGCCCCGUGCGGGGCUCGGUGGCAUGGGGUGUUGCUGCACGCCAUGCGGUUGGACACGACUCUCGGCAAUGGAUAUCUCGGCUCUCGCAUCGAUGAAGAGCGCAGCGAAAUGCGAUACGUGGUGCGAAUUGCAGAAUCCCGCGAACCAUCGAGUCUUUGAACGCAAGUUGCGCCCGAGGCCAGCAGGCCAAGGGCACGUCCGCCUGGGCGUCAAGCGUUGCGUCGCUCCGUGCCAACUACGACACCAUUUAUGGUGCGUCGUCCGAGGCUCGGAUGUGCAGAGUGGCUCGUCGCGCCCAGCGGUGCGUCGGGCUGAAGAGAGGGCAACGUCUCGUCGGCCGCGAACAACAAGGGGUGGGUGAAAGCUGUGAGCGCAGCCUGCGUUGUCUCGUGCUGGCCCGAGAGACGGAUUGCGCCUACGAGGUGAUCCCGGCCCACGCGCCGAUCCCCAUGCGGGGCGGCGGCUUGGAAUGCGACCCCAGGAUGGGCGAGGCCACCCGCUGAGUUUAA
This 727-nucleotide small RNA is filed under the name Catasetum aff. laminatum GS-2014. RNAcentral's name for it is "eukaryotic LSU rRNA". The stretch from base 275 to 430 matches the Rfam family "5.8S ribosomal RNA". The record is from RNAcentral. Lineage: Eukaryota; Viridiplantae; Streptophyta; Magnoliopsida; Asparagales; Orchidaceae.